CCUACGGGAGGCAGCAGUAGGGAAUAUUGCUCAAUGGGGGAAACCCUGAAGCAGCAACGCCGCGUGGAGGAUGAAGGUUUUCGGAUUGUAAACUCCUUUCGUUAGAGAAGAUAAUGACGGUAUCUAACGAAUAAGCACCGGCUAACUCCGUGCCAGCAGCCGCGGUAAUACGGAGGGUGCAAGCGUUACCCGGAAUUACUGGGCAUAAAGAGCGCGUAGACGGGAUAGCAAGUCAGAUGUGAAAUCCGAUGGCGUAACCAUAGAACUGCAUUUGAAACUGUUAUGCUAGAGUAUGGGAGAGGUAGGUGGAAUUCUUGGUGUAGGGGUAAAAUGCGUAGAGAUCAAGAGGAAUACUCAUUGCGAAGGCGACCUGCUAGAACAUAACUGACGCUGAUGCGCGAAAGCGUGGGGAGCAAACAGGAUUAGAUACCCGAGUAGUC
This 440-nucleotide ribosomal RNA is filed under the name uncultured bacterium. RNAcentral describes it as "partial 16S ribosomal RNA". It matches the Rfam family "Bacterial small subunit ribosomal RNA", at positions 338 to 795 of the family's 1533-position model. The record is from RNAcentral.